RNAcentral lists this long non-coding RNA (1635 nucleotides) under Bos taurus (domestic cattle). RNAcentral's name for it is "long non-coding RNA NONBTAT007494". The record is from RNAcentral. Lineage: Eukaryota; Metazoa; Chordata; Mammalia; Artiodactyla; Bovidae.
UUUGCUUUAUUUUGUUUUGCUCCAGAGCUGACAAUAAGGGAGAGAAGGUGAUACAAAUUUCUGAGCUAGGAAUAUGGAAAGGGAAUCGGGCUGGACUCCACUGCAUAUCAACGUUAAUUCUGUGAAUCAAUUUUAGCAGGUCUGCCCUAAUUGGGACCUUGAGGAUUAUCAUGGUUGAAAAUAUUUGAUUGCCCCAUCUUCUAUCUCUGUCUGUCUCUUCCCCUGUUUCCUGUGUCUGUCUUUGUUUCUUUCCAUAGAUACAAAUAUACAUAUAUAAUACAUACUUACAUACACGUGUAUUUCUCUGUCUCUGUCCCUAAACACUGAUCUAACUUGAAGGAUCACAGAUGUGGAUGGGACAAGAGUUUUCUCAAACAUUCACUACAGGUUGGUUCUUGAACCACUGGAUGUGGGUCAGAUUUUCAAACAAAGUCCCACUUCUCACCGCUAGGAGUCAGUCCACACUUAGCCUGAAUCUGACGGUUUCAAAUUCCCUCCUUAGGCCAAACUCACAUCCUUUGUACUGCAGUUUGAAUACUCACUUUAGUGUGCUAGGGAAAUAGUGAUAAGACAGAGGUCAGAAACUGGCCUUGCCUGGUGGGUAGUGAAGUUUGAUGCUCUAUGGGACUAAGGCACACCAAGAGAAGGGAAGAAAGUGGCGGAGCAGCUCGGGGAGUGUGGCAGGCUGCUGUCAUGGCCCUGUAUGAACCCCAGCCAAGUGCUGGGUGCAUUUAUCGUCGCGCACACACACGUGCGCGCGUUCGUGGGAAAGCACUGUUUGUUUCCCGGAAACAGGUGCCAGUUCUCGCUGUUUCACCAGAUACCCCAAGUCGCGUCAUCCUGAAACAGGGAAAACUGUCUUCUCCCUGGCAUCCACCUGUGAAGUGAAGAGAGAUCUUUGGAAAACAGACCUAAGCACCUCUCUUCCCUUUGGAAGACUGCAGGGAUUUCCCCUUGUCUUCAGGACAAGGAGCUUGAGGUUCAGAACUUUCCUGAGACCUCACAGGACUCCCAAGGCCACUCUUAUAACCACUGUGCACUACUGCCCAGAGAAGGAAACGGUAACCCACUCCAGUAUUCUUGCCUGGAAAACCCCAUGGACAGAGGAGCCUGCUGGGCUGGUGACUCCAUAGGGUCACAAAGACUCGGACAUGACUGAAGUGACUUAGCACCUGGCACUAGGAGCUUUCACCAUGGGACCGCAUCUCUAAUGCUGAAAAGCAGCUGAAAAUACCCAGGACCACCUGAUUCUCUGACUCAGUGGGACUCAACCCCUGACCUCAGGGGAGUUUCCUGAGCCAUGAAGGAAGACUUGAGCUGAGCACAGAAGGAAACAUGGGAAAGGAUGUUGGUUAUUAUUUUCCCAGCUAUUAUCCUGACCUGAUUACUCUUGUCAUUAUGGGCUCUCACUAAAGCUCAGUUGAGGAUAACACUAAAUGCUACCGAGAAUAACUUCAGAUUCCUCGGAUCCCAUGUUCCUGCAUUAGGUAUUCACACAGAUUAUGGAAGCAGCAAGGUGGGUCUCCUGGCCCACACUCUCUUAUUAUAGAUACGCAGAGUGUGGCUCAGGGAAGUGACUCCCAGUCUGCCCACCAGGCUCCCUUCUGUGAACCACAUGGAUGAAAUGCUCAGCCU